This 44-nucleotide ribosomal RNA is filed under the name Umbilicaria kappenii. RNAcentral's name for it is "5.8S ribosomal RNA". Lineage: Eukaryota; Fungi; Ascomycota; Lecanoromycetes; Umbilicariales; Umbilicariaceae. The record is from RNAcentral.
AUUGCGCCCCCCGGUAUUCCGGGGGGCAUGCCUGUUCGAGCGUC